UCGACAGAACCGCCACUCCUCCACCGCCGUCUAAGAGCUGCUGCGGGAUUAACGGCGUCGCCAUGCUCUCUAUCUUUUUUUUUUCUUUUCGUUUUGUAAUUUUCUCAGCGAAUUUUCCCGGAUGUUUAAUUUUCCCGGAAAAAUUUUCUCUAUCUAGAUCUUCUUUACACUUCGUCGUUGUUGAAAUUCUUUGUGUGAGAAAAAAAAAAUGUGUGAUAUUUUUUUGUUUGUGAAGAUUAUAAGAGCAACGUUGUACCAAAAAAAAAAGAGUAACGUUUAUUUUUUGUUAUUUUUUGUUUUGGUCUGAACAGAAAAAUAAUUUUUGGCUUGAGGUGUGGCGUGUGAAUGUGUGAUAAGGUUUUUUGGACAAAAAAGACAACCUGCGAGCGAGUGAGGGAAGAUCAUGAUGAUGUUUAUAUACCUGUGAUAUUGCCACGUGGAUUAUUUUACCACAUAGGAUAAUUAUGUCAUAUUUGGGGUAACUUAACUUGAUUGGGACAUUGAAAUAUGAUAUUUAUGGAAAUAUUUUUUGCUAACAAUUGGGAUAUGGAAUUUCGGUUAAAUAGGUAAAUAAUAUUUGUCAAAAAAAGUAAAUAUAAUUUUCAUUAUUGAAGGGUUAUGCAUGCAGUCAUUUUCAUUAUUGUUGUAUAC
RNAcentral lists this long non-coding RNA (651 nucleotides) under Trifolium pratense (red clover). RNAcentral describes it as "long non-coding RNA (TPRA_LNC012989)". Lineage: Eukaryota; Viridiplantae; Streptophyta; Magnoliopsida; Fabales; Fabaceae. The record is from RNAcentral.